This is a non-coding RNA of Anas platyrhynchos (mallard), 552 nucleotides long. The record is from RefSeq and is a predicted model, not a curated record. NCBI's taxonomy places the organism in Eukaryota, Metazoa, Chordata, Aves, Anseriformes, Anatidae.
AUAGAUGAAGAAAUUAAUAUUUACAUGCUAGCAAACGGCAUAUUCUUCCUUCCUGUCAUAUGUCCUUCCUGUUGCCCUCAUGCAAAGAAUUCACUGCUUGGAUCUUAAUUGGCUCCAUCUCUGACAUCUGAAACCUCUCCUUGCUAGGGAGAAAUAAUUUCAUUACUUAAAGCACAGCAGAGCUGCUGGGCUUCUCCGCAACCUAACUGAAUUAAAGUCAUGAGAAGACAAAUGCGAGGGAGUUGCUUUUAGAGGCGAGAAAACGUCGAUUUGCAAAGAGGAUUCAAGGAACAAUGGCAAAUACAAGGCUUCCGAGAAACAUUUCCUUCAUGAUGUCUGUCUUCUGCAUGAGUCACAUAACUGGGUCACACCUUCAGAUAGGGAAAUGCUUUCUGCUGCCAUGGAAUGAUCAUCUGCCCUCACCCCGCACCAGAAACAGAUUAGAAAGCAACUUCUGGAUGACAACAACCAGAUGUCUACUGGACACAAUGUGAAAAUUGCAGACCAUCUAAUUGACAACUUGCACAAAAAAUUAAAGCAAUUAGAAUUGUU